UGAAAGGUUGACCUCGGAUCAGGUAGGAAUACCCGCUGAACUUAAGCAUAUCAAUAAGCGGAGGAAAAGAAACCAACAGGGAUUGCCCUAGUAACGGCGAGUGAAGCGGCAACAGCUCAAAUUUGAAAUCUGGCCCUCGGGUCCGAGUUGUAAUUUGUAGAGGAUGCUUUUGGCGCGGUGCCUUCCGAGUUCCCUGGAACGGGACGCCAUAGAGGGUGAGAGCCCCGUCUGGUUGGACACCAAGCCUCUGUAAAGCUCCUUCGACGAGUCGAGUAGUUUGGGAAUGCUGCUCUAAAUGGGAGGUAUAUGUCUUCUAAAGCUAAAUACCGGCCAGAGACCGAUAGCGCACAAGUAGAGUGAUCGAAAGAUGAAAAGCACUUUGAAAAGAGAGUUAAAUAGCACGUGAAAUUGUUGAAAGGGAAGCGCUUAUGACCAGACUUGGGCUUGGUUGAUCAUCCUGCGUUCUCGCGGGUGCACUCUUCCGGCUCAGGCCAGCAUCAGUUCGUCGCGGGGGAUAAAGGCGUCGGGAAUGUGGCUCCCUCGGGAGUGUUAUAGCCCUUCGUGUAAUACCCUGCGGUGGACUGAGGACCGCGCUUCGGCAAGGAUGCUGGCGUAAUGGUCAUCAGCGACCCGUCUUGAAACACGGACCAAGGAGUCGUCUUCGUAUGCGAGUGUUCGGGUGUCAAACCCCUACGCGUAAUGAAAGUGAACGCAGGUGAGAGCUUCGGCGCAUCAUCGACCGAUCCUGAUGUUCUCGGAUGGAUUUGAGUAAGAGCAUACGGGGCCGGACCCGAAAGAAGGUGAACUAUGCCUGUAUAGGGUGAAGCCAGAGGAAACUCUGGUGGAGGCUCGCAGCGGUUCUGACGUGCAAAUCGAUCGUCAAAUAU
Molecule: ribosomal RNA, 887 nt
Filed under: Sarcopodium circinatum
Lineage: Eukaryota; Fungi; Ascomycota; Sordariomycetes; Hypocreales; Nectriaceae
Also listed under: 1 other name
Description: eukaryotic LSU rRNA
Rfam family: Eukaryotic large subunit ribosomal RNA
Source: RNAcentral